RNAcentral lists this ribosomal RNA (279 nucleotides) under Mesomexovis aff. punctatus 20scrp. RNAcentral describes it as "partial 28S ribosomal RNA". It matches the Rfam family "Eukaryotic large subunit ribosomal RNA", at positions 705 to 953 of the family's 3401-position model. RNAcentral also lists the same sequence under 1 other name. The record is from RNAcentral. Lineage: Eukaryota; Metazoa; Arthropoda; Arachnida; Scorpiones; Vaejovidae.
GGCCCGCAGGCGAAAUGAAAGUGAAGGGCGACCUUGUCGUCGCCUGCGUUGGGAUCCCCGGACAACAGAGUCUGGGGCGCACCAACGGCCCGUCCCGUCCGCAACGUCGGUGGGACGGAGCGAGAGCGUACACGUUGGGACCCGAAAGAUGGUGAACUAUGCCUGGGCAGGACGAGGCCAGAGGAAACUCUGGUGGAGGUCCGCAGCGAUUCUGACGUGCAAAUCGAUCGUCAGACCUGGGUAUAGGGGCGAAAGACUAAUCGAACCGUCUAGUAGCUG